This 97-nucleotide small RNA is filed under the name Escherichia coli. RNAcentral describes it as "partial RtT sRNA". It matches the Rfam family "RtT RNA", at positions 36 to 130 of the family's 130-position model. From Rfam's summary of the family: This family represents a bacterial cis-regulatory element known as RtT RNA. The exact function of RtT is unknown although it is thought that it may be involved in changing the cellular response in relation to amino acid starvation. The record is from RNAcentral. Lineage: Bacteria; Pseudomonadati; Pseudomonadota; Gammaproteobacteria; Enterobacterales; Enterobacteriaceae.
CGAAGGUUCGACUCGAGCGCCAGCGAGAAAGCGUUGCCGCAGGCAACGACCCGAAGGGCGAAGCGCGCAGCGCUGAGUAAUCCUUCCCCCACCACCA